UGGGGAAUAUUGCACAAUGGGCGAAAGCCUGAUGCAGCAACGCCGCGUGAGUGAUGAAGGCCUUCGGGUUGUAAAGCUCUGUCUUUUGGGACGAUAAUGACGGUACCAAAGGAGGAAGCCACGGCUAACUACGUGCCAGCAGCCGCGGUAAUACGUAGGUGGCAAGCGUUGUCCGGAUUUACUGGGCGUAAAGGAUGCGUAGGCGGAUUUUUAAGUGAGAUGUGAAAUUCCCGAGCUUAACUUGGGAGCUGCAUUUCAAACUGGGAAUCUAGAGUGCGGGAGAGGAAAGUGGAAUUCCUAGUGUAGCGGUGAAAUGCGUAGAGAUUAGGAAGAACACCAGUGGCGAAGGCGACUUUCUGGACCGUAACUGACGCUGAGGCAUGAAAGCGUGGGUAGCAAACA
This 402-nucleotide ribosomal RNA is filed under the name uncultured bacterium. RNAcentral's name for it is "bacterial SSU rRNA". It matches the Rfam family "Bacterial small subunit ribosomal RNA", at positions 355 to 774 of the family's 1533-position model. The record is from RNAcentral.